This 405-nucleotide ribosomal RNA is filed under the name uncultured bacterium. RNAcentral's name for it is "partial 16S ribosomal RNA". It matches the Rfam family "Bacterial small subunit ribosomal RNA", at positions 29 to 525 of the family's 1533-position model. The record is from RNAcentral.
AUUGAACGCUGGCGGCAGGCCUAACACAUGCAAGUCGAACGAGUGGCGGACGGGUGAGUAAUGUCUGGGAAACUGCCCGAUGGAGGGGGAUAACUACUGGAAACGGUAGCUAAUACCGCAUACCAUCGGAUGUGCCCAGAUGGGAUUAGCUAGUAGGUGGGGUAACGGUCCACCUAGGCGACGAUCCCUAGCUGGUCUGAGGGGAUGACCGGCCACACGGGACCUGGAAACGGGUCCGACCUCCUACGGGAGGCAGCGGUGGGAAAUUUUGCACAAUGGGGGCAAGCCGGAUGCAGCCAUCCCGGGUGUAUGAAGAGGGCCUUCGGGUUGUAAAGUACUUUCGGCGGGGAGGCGUUACCCGCAGAAGAAGCACCGGCUAACUCCGUGCCAGCAGCCGCGGUAUUC